Passer domesticus (house sparrow) is the source of this 406-nucleotide long non-coding RNA. RefSeq lists it as uncharacterized. The record is from RefSeq and is a predicted model, not a curated record. Lineage: Eukaryota; Metazoa; Chordata; Aves; Passeriformes; Passeridae. The transcript has 3 exons.
GCUUACAUUGUGAGGGCAUAAAAGGCCAGGGUUUGCUUUGCUCAGGGUUCCUCUUGCAGGCACCAGCUUGAGCUUUUAUUUCAUUGUUGUACCAUGAUUAAACUAUUUGAAGGAUCCAGACCACUGAGACUCUGAUAUGGAAAACCUGGGGUUAAGAAAGCUUUCCCAACAAAAAACAUUAGAAACACAAAGAAGAAAAAGGAAUCAAUCUUGCCACAAAAAGAAUUGAAACCUAUGCACCUGGGAGAAGAACCAACUGCAGGAAAAAAAAGGAAGAAAUACAGUGGAAAAUGGAUGGGAAAGUUGAUGAAACUGAAAGGUCACUCACAAAUCACUUAUGAGGAAGCCCAUCUGUUCAGCACAGGUGCCUACACAAAUAUUAAAAACAGCAAAGGAAGCCCCAAAA